Molecule: ribosomal RNA, 301 nt
Filed under: uncultured eukaryote
Lineage: Eukaryota
Description: partial 18S ribosomal RNA
Rfam family: Eukaryotic small subunit ribosomal RNA
Source: RNAcentral
CCCUUAGAUGUUCUGGGCCGCACGCGCGCUACACUGACGGAUUCAACGAGCUUACAACCUUGGCCGAAAGGUCUGGGUAAUCUUCAAAAUCCGUCGUGAUGGGGAUAGAUUAUUGCAAUUAUUAAUCUUCAACGAGGAAUGCCUAGUAAGCGCAAGUCAUCAGCUUGCGUUGAUUACGUCCCUGCCCUUUGUACACACCGCCCGUCGUUUCUUCCGACUGAUACUCAUUGUGAGUUGCAAGGACCCUUUAUUGGGAAAUUGCUGCAAAUGCUUUGUAUUGGAGGAAGAAAAAGUCGUAACA